GGAGAGAAGAUAUUAUUGCAGUUGAAUAGGAUAGUUGGAGCUCUUCCUUACAAGGUGUUGGUGACCCCCUUUUUAUAGAAAGGGGGUGCCCAAACUUAGUACAAAAAUACUUAACAUGACAAAAAAGAAUGAGAUGUGACAGCCCGUUAGAUUUACGUCAUAAGAGGGCUGGCGUCGAGCCGCUUGGAUAGAUUUGAUCGACCCCAGGUGCAUUCCUUGGGGAAUUCCUGUGUUCGUCAAGGUCUAAGCCGAUGUUUAUUCCUGGCCGGACGUCGACAGGUUUUGAGGGAAGUGACUGACCCGAGAUCCCGUGUUUCCAGGGUCACUCUACGAAGCAGUAUGCCAGGGAGAAAUUGGUUCCUCGGUUUUCACCGCACACACAUUACAACUUGCUCUUAUGUACAACUAUGUGUCUAAAAGAAAAGCAAGAAAAAGUUUAAUAUAAAAAGAAACAUUUUCCUAACUCUAAGUCUUUCAGCUUUUACAAAAACCCUUCGAACCAACUUCAGCUUGCAAGAAAUUCGGCUAUAGAGUUGUUUCCUACAAGCCAAGCCUUCAGUUCCAGCUCUGAAAUUUCUUUGCCUUAUUGCCACUCACAUACAAAACAACAGAAAUCAAGUACAUAUUUCAGUAUUUGUAGAUAUCUGUUUGCUGGUGUAUUCUUAACUAAAAUGACAAAGCAACAGAAGGAAAGAAGGAAAACCACUUCUGCAAUCAAAAUUCACAUUUUUGUAUAAGGUCUUGCCAAAAAAAUCUUCAAAACUUAGACAUUAUUUAAAAAUGGAGUUACAAACAUUAGUAAGCCAAACAAAGGGAGUCAUGUUGGUGCAUUUCCAUGUUCAACUAAUAAAAUCUACUACAUUUAUACCAAAUCAGUCAAAUAUCACAUGGAAACUCAUUCAUUAUACAUAUUUUGCAAACUUGCUGAUACCAUAUUAUCUCAAAACAAAUAGUACAUAAGGAAAAGUGAGAUUAGUACCUUGCAGCAGCAAGAAACAAGCAGUAAAUAGAAGAAAUAUUUGACCAAAACCUUAAGGAAGGAGCAGCCAACAAAAAACCAAGCAGCAACAGUGUAAAACCAACCCAGAAAACCAGAAUCAACGCUCAAAUGUCUCCAAAAUCAGAGUGUCAGAAAAUUAGCCUAGAAGCUUAAUCAGAAAAAAACUAAUGUUUUCAGGAAAAAAAGUUUCAAGGAGUUUUUCUCUUUUGCUUUCGGAGCUUCUGGGUACAGAAAAUGCUGUUGAAUGUGUGUGAAAAAUGGGUGAAUGGCUUUCUUUUUAUAGUGCAUAUCCAAAAAUGGCAUCGAAGAAAUAAUUUACCCUAAUUCCUUAGAUAGUACAACAUAUUUGCAAAGGAUAAAAUGUCCAGCUAUCCAUUUCAGCAUCUUUUAAAACCAUUUUUUUACAGCUGGUACUUCUAGAACUUUCCUCUUCCUAGAUAUUUAUUUUUUAAGUUCUGAAAUUUCCUUAAGUUUCUCUUAGUUCAAUUAAGACCCUACAGGUUUCUAAUGAUUUACGGAUCAAGACCAAAAAAAAGCAAGAACAAAUAAGGAUUCAAAAUUCAACUCUAAAUGACAAACAAAAACAUGAUGAUGCAAUUUAAACCUAAAAUUAAGCUAAUCAAUAAUUAAAAAAUGCCUAUCUAAUUAAACCUAAACAAAAAUGAUUUAAACGACUAAUGCAUCUAUACAGUAAUCAAACAAAAAUUAAAAUGGAAUUGCAAAGAUAGACUAAAAAUGAUCCUAAACAAAUACUGAAACUAAAAUAGAAAAGUAGAAGAAAAAGCAUAAUAAUUUCAUGUAUCAAACCUAAAGAUGAACCCUAAUUAAACUAAAUUUAUGCAAUUGAAAUUAAACAUUAGAUGAUGAAAUUUUAAUAUGCUUUUGACUAAUCUAAUAACCAGAUGCAAAAAUAAACAAACAAGGCAAUUCUGAACAAAAGAAAAGAAGAACCUAAAACAUGCGGCUAACAACAAAAAAAACAAAACAAAAAAAAAAGGAGAUGAAAGGGAUAAUCAGAAGAGGAAAGGAGAAAAGAAGAGAAAAGGAAUUACCAGAACUCGUUCCAAAUCCAGACUAUUCAGGGAUUUGAUCGAACCUCAAAGGGGUGAAAUGAACUUAAACUACAAUUAAUCGACUGUUGUUAACAAGAACAGUUGACUAAUGGAGGUUUAGGGUUAAAUCAAACACAAGUUUGACCGAAGAAAAUCAAAAGAAGGGAAAAACUAGGGUUCAUGAUUUCCAGAUUUAAGAUUUGGGGAAAUUAAAGGGGGCUUUUGGGGAAUUGAUUGUAGCUUAGGGUUCAUAGGGGUGUGAGGAAUGUGGGGUGUGAAUUUGGGAUGAUUUGGGUGAACUAGGAUUUUUAGGCUUGGAUCUCAGAUCUAAAAUUGGUGGUUUUAGGUGGGGAUUUUGAGAAAGAUGAUAGUGAGAUGGAGUUGGGAAAAGGCUCGGGAUCAAAGGGUGUUAAUUUGGAGCGAUUUGGAGCACUGGAGCCACCGUGAGGCGAUUUCUGGCGGGUGAUCAGCGGCGGAGGCGGCGUGGGGUAUAAGGGCAGCUAGGAUUUGUUUCACUUAGAGAUGAAGAAGGUG
This 2586-nucleotide long non-coding RNA is filed under the name Nicotiana tabacum (common tobacco). Its description in RNAcentral is "long non-coding RNA (NTAB_LNC015614)". Lineage: Eukaryota; Viridiplantae; Streptophyta; Magnoliopsida; Solanales; Solanaceae. The record is from RNAcentral.